Molecule: ribosomal RNA, 1341 nt
Filed under: Triticum aestivum (bread wheat)
Lineage: Eukaryota; Viridiplantae; Streptophyta; Magnoliopsida; Poales; Poaceae
Description: partial small subunit ribosomal RNA
Source: RNAcentral
AUGGCGUACAACCCUUCGCGCGCGCGCCUCUCGCCGCCAGCUCCCGCGGCCCCUCGCCCCAGGAAGCGCGGACGCUCCCCCUCUGCUCCCGGCGCGGCGGUGUGGCGCGCGUCCGCAUACGUCGCUCCUUUCGACCACCGCCGCCGCUGGCAGGAUCCCGCAGGCGCGUCUGGCCGCGUCUGGCAGGGGUACCACGCGCCGCAUGCUCCGGUGCCCUACCGGCGGUGGAUCUUCGCGGACGAGGCAGCGACCUCGGGCUCAGAUGCAUGCACAAUCAUGUCAUACAACAUCUUGGCGGAUAACAAUGCACGGAACCAUCCUGACCUUUACUUGGACGUCCCUUGGGAUGCUUUGAGGUGGGAUUCGAGGAGAAGGCUUAUUAUCCAUGAAAUUAGGCACUGGGACUCUGACUUAGUGUGUCUUCAGGAGGUGGAUAGAUUCCGGGAAAUCGCUGCAGAAAUGAAGAACAAAGGCUAUGAAUGUAGCUUUAAGGGGCGCACUGGGGAUGCUAAAGAUGGAUGUGCUACCUUUUGGAAGUCAGAACGGUUACGUCUGCUUGAGGAAGAUAGUAUUGACUUUAGUGAAUUCAAUCUACGAAAUAAUGUUGCUCAAGUAUUAGUUUUUGAGCUUAACGGAACCCAAAAAUUUGUACUCGGGAAUAUCCAUGUUUUGUUUAAUCCAAAGCGUGGAGAUAUAAAAAUGGGACAGAUCCGCAUGCUACUGGAGAGGGCGAAUGCUCUUGCUGGAAAAUGGGAUGGAAUUCCUAUUGUGCUGGCUGGUGAUUUUAACAGCACACCUGAAAGUGCCAUCUACAAGUUCUUGUCGACAAUGAAGCUGAACGUUUCUUUGCAUGAUAGAAGGCAGUUGUCUGGACUGGAUAGCUCUGAAUUUGGUUUGUAUUGUAGUUUACUGAACUGCGAAUGGAGUGACGAAGAAGUGAGAAAUGCGACAGGGUCCUCAAAUGUCAUGGUCGCUAGACAUCCGUUGAAGCUCUCUAGCUCUUAUGCCAUGUUAAAGGGAAAUUCAAGCAAUAGGGGUCAUCAUGGUGAACCUCUAGCAACGUCAUAUCACAAGAGGUUUCUUGGGACUGUUGAUUAUUUGUGGUAUACUACUGGGCUUGAAUGCUCCAGAGUUUUGGACACACUACCUGUGGACGCUUUGAGGAGAACGAGGGGUCUUCCAACCAGGGAAAUGGGCAGUGAUCAUCUGCCAAUUGUUGCUGAAUUCAUCUUCUCAGAACAGACCAGAGAUGCAUCCGAGCAAGAAGAUGAAUCUGAAAGGUUUAGGAUAACCGACUCGGAGGGCACAGCGCACAGCACAUCAGAGUAUGCACGGCGGUGA